UGGGGAAUAUUGGACAAUGGGCGAAAGCCUGAUCCAGCCAUGCCGCGUGUGUGAAGAAGGUCUUCGGAUUGUAAAGCACUUUAAGUUGGGAGGAAGGGCAGUAAGCGAAUACCUUGCUGUUUUGACGUUACCGACAGAAUAAGCACCGGCUAACUCUGUGCCAGCAGCAGCGGUAAUACAGAGGGUGCAAGCGUUAAUCGGAAUUACUGGGCGUAAAGCGCGCGUAGGUGGUUCGUUAAGUUGAAUGUGAAAGCCCCGGGCUCAACCUGGGAACUGCAUCCAAAACUGGCGAGCUAGAGUAGGGCAGAGGGUGGUGGAAUUUCCUGUGUAGCGGUGAAAUGCGUAGAUAUAGGAAGGAACACCAGUGGCGAAGGCGACCACCUGGGCUCAUACUGACACUGAGGUGCGAAAGCGUGGGGAGCAAACAGG
RNAcentral lists this ribosomal RNA (429 nucleotides) under Pseudomonadota bacterium. RNAcentral describes it as "Proteobacteria bacterium partial 16S ribosomal RNA". It matches the Rfam family "Bacterial small subunit ribosomal RNA", at positions 355 to 776 of the family's 1533-position model. Lineage: Bacteria; Pseudomonadati; Pseudomonadota. The record is from RNAcentral.